RNAcentral lists this ribosomal RNA (553 nucleotides) under uncultured archaeon. RNAcentral's name for it is "bacterial SSU rRNA". It matches the Rfam family "Archaeal small subunit ribosomal RNA", at positions 339 to 897 of the family's 1478-position model. The record is from RNAcentral.
GCGCGACUCUACAUGCACGAAAGUGCGAUAGGGGUACCCCAAGUGCUCAUACACUGUAUGGGCUUUUGAUAAGUGUAAAUAGCUUGUCGAAUAAGCGGUGGGUAAGACUGGUGCCAGCCGCCGCGGUAACACCAGCGCCGCAAGUGGGAGCCGUUUUUAUUGGGCCUAAAGCGUCCGUAGCAGGUCUAGCAAAUCUCUCGUGAAAUUGUCCAGCUUAACUGGGCAGCGUGCGGGAGACACUACUAGACUAGGGACCGGGAGGAGUGAGAGGUAUUUCGGGGGGAGCGGUAAAAUGCUAUAAUCCUCGAAGGACCACCGAUGGCGAAGGCAUCUCACCAGAACGGAUCCGACUGUGAGGGACGAAAGCUAGGGGAGCGAACCGGAUUAGAUACCCGGGUAGUCCUGGCCGUAAACGCUGCGAGUUAGGUGUUGCGUAAACUUCGAGUUUGCGCAGUAUCGGAGCGAAGGCGUUAAACUCGCCGCCUGGGAAGUAUGGUCGCAAGGCUGAAACUUAAAGGAAUUGGCGGGGGAGCACAAGCCGAAUUCAAGCAAA